Molecule: ribosomal RNA, 253 nt
Filed under: uncultured bacterium
Lineage: Bacteria
Description: partial 16S ribosomal RNA
Rfam family: Bacterial small subunit ribosomal RNA
Source: RNAcentral
UACGUAGGGUGCAAGCGUUGUCCGGAAUUAUUGGGCGUAAAGAGCUCGUAGGUGGCCUGUCGCGUCGGCUGUGAAAACUCGGGGCUCAACUCCGAGCUUGCAGUCGAUACGGGCAGGCUAGAGUUCGGCAGGGGAGACUGGAAUUCCUGGUGUAGCGGUGAAAUGCGCAGAUAUCAGGAGGAACACCAAUGGCGAAGGCAGCUCGCUGGGACGGUACUGACGCUGAGACGCGAAAGCGUGGGGAGCAAACAGG